GCUUGUCUCAAAGAUUAAGCCAUGCACGUCUAAGUAUAAGCGAUUAUACUGUGAAACUGCGAAUGGCUCAUUAUAUCAGUUAUAGUUUAUUUGAUGGUCCUUGCUACUUGGAUAACCGUAGUAAUUCUAGAGCUAAUACAUGCAUAAAUCCCCGACUGCUUGGAAGGGGUGUAUUUAUUAGAUACAAAACCAAUGCGGGGCAACCCGGUAUAAGGUGAUUCAUAAUAACUUUGCGAAUCGCAUGGCCUUGUGCCGGCGAUGAAUCAUUCAAAUUUCUGCCCUAUCAACUUUCGAUGGUAAGGUAUUGGCUUACCAUGGUCGCAACGGGUAACGGGGAAUAAGGGUUCGAUUCCGGAGAGGGAGCCUGAGAAAUGGCUACCACAUCCAAGGAAGGCAGCAGG
This 401-nucleotide ribosomal RNA is filed under the name uncultured Salpingoecidae. Its description in RNAcentral is "partial small subunit ribosomal RNA". It matches the Rfam family "Eukaryotic small subunit ribosomal RNA", at positions 30 to 432 of the family's 1831-position model. The record is from RNAcentral. Lineage: Eukaryota; Choanoflagellata; Craspedida; Salpingoecidae.